AUUGAACGCUGGCGGCAGGCCUAACACAUGCAAGUCGAGCGGAUGAAGGGAGCUUGCUCCUGGAUUCAGCGGCGGACGGGUGAGUAAUGCCUAGGAAUCUGCCUGGUAGUGGGGGAUAACGUCCGGAAACGGGCGCUAAUACCGCACACGUCCUGAGGGAGAAAGUGGGGGAUCUUCGGACCUCACGCUAUCAGAUGAGCCUAGGUCGGAUUAGCUAGUUGGUGGGGUAAAGGCCUACCAAGGCGACGAUCCGUAACUGGUCUGAGAGGAUGAUCAGUCACACUGGAACUGAGACACGGUCCAGACUCCUACGGGAGGCAGCAGUGGGGAAUAUUGGACAAUGGGCGAAAGCCUGAUCCAGCCAUGCCGCGUGUGUGAAGAAGGUCUUCGGAUUGUAAAGCACUUUAAGUUGGGAGGAAGGGCAGUAAGUUAAUACCUUGCUGUUUUGACGUUACCAACAGAAUAAGCACGGGCUAACUUCGUG
This 484-nucleotide ribosomal RNA is filed under the name uncultured bacterium. Its description in RNAcentral is "partial 16S ribosomal RNA". It matches the Rfam family "Bacterial small subunit ribosomal RNA", at positions 30 to 507 of the family's 1533-position model. The record is from RNAcentral.